Molecule: ribosomal RNA, 434 nt
Filed under: Blattella ligulata
Lineage: Eukaryota; Metazoa; Arthropoda; Insecta; Blattodea; Blattellidae
Description: Episymploce ligulata partial large subunit ribosomal RNA
Source: RNAcentral
CUCUUUUUGUUUAUAUAAAAAGUAUAACCUGCCCACUGAAUUUAUUUUUUUUGAAGGGCCGCGGUAUUUUGACCGUGCAAAGGUAGCAUAAUCAUUAGUCUUUUAAUUGGAGGCUGGAAUGAAUGGUUGGACGAGAUAUAAUCUGUCUUUUGGUUUAGUUUAGAAUUUAAUUUUUAAGUAAAAAGGCUUAAAUUUAAUUAUGGGACGAGAAGACCCUAUAGAGUUUAAAAUUUUAAUUUUUAAGGAUGGUUUGAUUAUUAGUUUAUUAAUUAAUAUUUUUUGUUGGGGUGAUGGAAAGAUAAUUUAAACUCUUUUUAUUUUUAAAUAUUUAUUUAUAGAAUUUUGAUCCAUUAUUAUUGAUUAUAAGACUAAAUUACCUUAGGGAUAACAGCGUAAUUCUUUUUGAGAGUUCAAAUCGACAAAAGUGAUUGCGA